This 253-nucleotide ribosomal RNA is filed under the name uncultured bacterium. RNAcentral's name for it is "partial 16S ribosomal RNA". It matches the Rfam family "Bacterial small subunit ribosomal RNA", at positions 524 to 776 of the family's 1533-position model. The record is from RNAcentral.
UACGUAGGUGGCAAGCGUUGUCCGGAUUUACUGGGCGUAAAGCGUAUGCAGGCGGAUACUUAAGUAGGAAGUGAAAGGUUGCAGCUCAACUGCAACACUGCUUCCUAUACUGGGUGUCUUGAGUGGCGGAGAGGGAGAUGGAACGACACGUGUAGCGGUGAAAUGCGUUGAUAUGUGUCGGAACACCAAUGGCGAAAGCAAUCUCCUGGACGCAAACUGACGCUGAGAUACGAAAGCUAAGGUAGCAAACAGG